AACUUAAAGGAAUUGACGGGGGCCCGCACAAGCGGUGGAGCAUGUGGUUUAAUUCGUUGCUACACGAAGAACCUUACCUGGGUUUGACAUAUAGGUUGUAGGGAACUGAAAAGGGACCGACCCUUCGGGGAGCCUAUACAGGUGUUGCAUGGCUGUCGUCAGCUCGUGUCGUGAGAUGUUCGGUUAAGUCCGCUAACGAGCGCAACCCUCGUCGUAUGUUAUAUGUGUCAUACGAGACUGCCGGUAAAAAGCCGGAGGAAGGUGAGGAUGAUGUCAAGUCAGCAUGACCUUUAUAUCCAGGGCUACACACACGCUACAAUGGUCUGUACAAUGGGUAGCCAAGCCGCGAGGCGGAGCCAAUCCUGAAAGCAGGCCUCAGUUCAGAUUGCAGUCUGCAACUCGACUGCAUGAAGCCGGAGUUGCUAGUAACCGCAGGUCAGCAAUACUGCGGUGAAUACGUUCCCGGGUCUU
Molecule: ribosomal RNA, 471 nt
Filed under: uncultured Anaerolineaceae bacterium
Lineage: Bacteria; Bacillati; Chloroflexota; Anaerolineae; Anaerolineales; Anaerolineaceae
Description: bacterial SSU rRNA
Rfam family: Bacterial small subunit ribosomal RNA
Source: RNAcentral